AGUGGGGGUGAGACCUAUGACAAGAACCAUGCAGGACUGGGCCUUGAUAAUCCAAAGGUCUACUGUUGACAGCAUUUUGUGUCUCCUUACAGGAGAGAGGAGUACCUAUGCUGAGGUGAAAGUACAUUGGAAAUCUGACAGCACAUCAGAGGCUACCCGUUCAGGUCCCACCUCUCAGUGCUCAGGCUGGUUGUAUAUUAUUGCAGUCCUUGGGAUUAUUACACUGAUUCUGCUAGUUACUGUGAUCCUCUUAGCUCUGCGCUGUGUAAACGUGUGAUGAUAACUCAACUCAGCAAGUCUCUCUUCAAUGAAAGAUCAUCAAAUGCUGGUUGAAAGUGCUCAUAAAUUGCUCUUUCUUUUAAAUGACUUUGAUAAAAGAUAGGCUUUCAGUUUGAUCACUGUGACACUCUGUACCUCGGGGGAACACCUUGCACCCUCAUGUUCAUCCUUAUAAUAUGAUUGUGUGGUAUCCAAUGCAACGUUUGUCAUGUUGGGUGUCUUUGGAAGGCUCA
Molecule: long non-coding RNA, 512 nt
Organism: Mauremys mutica (yellowpond turtle)
Lineage: Eukaryota; Metazoa; Chordata; Testudines; Geoemydidae
Exons: 3
Source: RefSeq, a predicted model, not a curated record